Molecule: ribosomal RNA, 484 nt
Filed under: uncultured bacterium
Lineage: Bacteria
Description: partial 16S ribosomal RNA
Rfam family: Bacterial small subunit ribosomal RNA
Source: RNAcentral
AUUGAACGCUAGCGGGAUGCUUUACACAUGCAAGUCGAACGGCAGCGCGGACUUCGGUCUGGCGGCGAGUGGCGAACGGGUGAGUAAUGUAUCGGAACGUGCCCAGUAGCGGGGGAUAACUACGCGAAAGCGUAGCUAAUACCGCAUACGCCCUACGGGGGAAAGCAGGGGAUCGUAAGACCUUGCACUAUUGGAGCGGCCGAUAUCGGAUUAGCUAGUUGGUGAGGUAACGGCUCACCAAGGCGACGAUCCGUAGCUGGUUUGAGAGGACGACCAGCCACACUGGGACUGAGCCACGGCCCAGACUCCUACGGGAGGCAGCAGUGGGGAAUUUUGGACAAUGGGGGCAACCCUGAUCCAGCCAUCCCGCGUGUGCGAUGAAGGCCUUCGGGUUGUAAAGCACUUUUGGCAGGAAAGAAACGUCGCGGGCUAAUACCCCGUGGAACUGACGGUACCUGCAGAAUAAGCACCGGCUAACUACGUG